GAGGGCGUAGCUUAGUGGUAGAGCACGUGCUUUGCAUGCACAAGGUCCUGGGUUCAAUCCCCAGUGCCUCUA
This is a transfer RNA of Camelus ferus (Wild Bactrian camel), 72 nucleotides long. It matches the Rfam family "tRNA". From Rfam's summary of the family: Transfer RNA (tRNA) molecules are approximately 80 nucleotides in length. Their secondary structure includes four short double-helical elements and three loops (D, anti-codon, and T loops). The record is from Rfam. Lineage: Eukaryota; Metazoa; Chordata; Mammalia; Artiodactyla; Camelidae.